This 530-nucleotide ribosomal RNA is filed under the name Streptacidiphilus neutrinimicus. RNAcentral's name for it is "bacterial SSU rRNA". It matches the Rfam family "Bacterial small subunit ribosomal RNA", at positions 31 to 578 of the family's 1533-position model. The record is from RNAcentral. Lineage: Bacteria; Bacillati; Actinomycetota; Actinomycetes; Kitasatosporales; Streptomycetaceae.
GAACGCUGGCGGCGUGCUUAACACAUGCAAGUCGAACGGUGAAGCCCUUCGGGGUGGAUCAGUGGCGAACGGGUGAGUAACACGUGGGCAAUCUGCCCUGCACUCUGGGACAAGCCUUGGAAACGAGGUCUAAUACCGGAUAUUACCCUUGACCGCAUGCUCUUGGGUGGAAAGCUCCGGCGGUGCAGGAUGAGCCCGCGGCCUAUCAGCUUGUUGGUGGGGUGAUGGCCUACCAAGGCGACGACGGGUAGCCGGCCUGAGAGGGCGACCGGCCACACUGGGACUGAGACACGGCCCAGACUCCUACGGGAGGCAGCAGUGGGGAAUAUUGCACAAUGGGCGAAAGCCUGAUGCAGCGACGCCGCGUGAGGGAUGAAGGCCUUCGGGUUGUAAACCUCUUUCAGCAGGGAAGAAGCGCAAGUGACGGUACCUGCAGAAGAAGCACCGGCUAACUACGUGCCAGCAGCCGCGGUAAUACGUAGGGUGCGAGCGUUGUCCGGAAUUAUUGGGCGUAAAGAGCUCGUAGGCGG